Molecule: ribosomal RNA, 630 nt
Filed under: Salmonella enterica subsp. enterica serovar Infantis
Lineage: Bacteria; Pseudomonadati; Pseudomonadota; Gammaproteobacteria; Enterobacterales; Enterobacteriaceae
Description: partial 23S ribosomal RNA
Rfam family: Bacterial large subunit ribosomal RNA
Source: RNAcentral
AUACAGGGUGACAGCCCCGUACACAAAAGCGCAUGUGCUGUGAGCUCGAUGAGUAGGGCGGGACACGUGGUAUCCUGUCUGAAUAUGGGGGGACCAUCCUCCAAGGCUAAAUACUCCUGACUGACCGAUAGUGAACCAGUACCGUGAGGGAAAGGCGAAAAGAACCCCGGCGAGGGGAGUGAAAAAGAACCUGAAACCGUGUACGUACAAGCAGUGGGAGCCCCACCACCAAAGCAUUCUCUGGUGUUGAAGGCCCUGCAAAGCAGCAUCGCGGUGGCGGAGCGUCGUUUGCGACGCCCAACACACAAAACAAGCGGUGAGUGCUUUGGGGUGGGGUGACUGCGUACCUUUUGUAUAAUGGGUCAGCGACUUAUAUUCUGUAGCAAGGUUAACCGAAUAGGGGAGCCGGAGGGAAACCGAGUCUUAAUUGGGCGUUAAGUUGCAGGGUAUAGACCCGAAACCCGGUGAUCUAGCCAUGGGCAGGUUGAAGGUUGGGUAACACUAACUGGAGGACCGAACCGACUAAUGUUGAAAAAUUAGCGGAUGACCUGUGGCUGGGGGUGAAAGGCCAAUCAAACCGGGAGAUAGCUGGUUCUCCCCGAAAGCUAUUUAGGUAGCGCCUCGUGAAUU